RNAcentral lists this long non-coding RNA (2582 nucleotides) under Nicotiana tabacum (common tobacco). RNAcentral describes it as "long non-coding RNA (NTAB_LNC013511)". The record is from RNAcentral. Lineage: Eukaryota; Viridiplantae; Streptophyta; Magnoliopsida; Solanales; Solanaceae.
ACAGCUAAAUUUUCCGGACAAAAUUGCCCCUACGGGGAUUCUGCUGACAGCGGAAAUGGGCCGCCUCAGCGCUUGGACUACCGCAGCCGCGCAAAAGCAAGCGCGGAUCGCGGUUCUUCUCUUUUUUAGCUGGUUCUGAACUUGAGUCCGCUGGGAGCGGAAAAACACCCGCCUCAGCACUCCUUCAAACGCGGCCGCGAAAUAUGAUCGUGGACCGCGCCAUUCAAUUUGAGCUCCCAACUAAUGCUCUCUGAUUCUUCAUUCCGCUAAGGGCGAGAACUAGACUGCGUCCACGUUAGAUGGUACCACUGCCCCGCAAUAUCAGCGCAAGCAGCAAUGACUGUUAAGUUGAAAGAAUCACUCUCUGAAUCCUCAAUCAGCUGAGAGAGACAUCAGGACCGCCUCAGCGGUAGACCCUCCGCGUCCGCUGUUAAUUCUCGCUAUCAGCGUCCUUUGAGUUCAACUUUGAACUUGUGCAGGUUUCACUCCUUUUUGAGCUGAUUAUGACUUCCUUAUCUCUUUUUGAACAAACACUGCAAACAAGCGCAAUAAGUUAGCUUUUGGGAAUACUUGUUCAUACUUUUAAUCCAAAACUUAAGCAAAAAGGAGCAAAAAAUAGGCAAAAAUCCUAGUUAUCACAAACGAAGCAAAAUGAUCGUUACGUCUCUCUCUCUCUCUCUCUCUCUCUCUCUGUCACGACCCUAACCCGGACCCGGUCGUGAUGGCGCCUCUCGUAAAGACAAGGCUAGCAAACUAUUCCUAAUUCGACAUUAAACAGUAAAAAAAAUAGUAGUAAAACAGUCUAAGACAUGAUUAAUAAUACGAAGUAGCAGAUAAUAUCGAUAAAAAUGCGGAAGUACAACCCAACACAGCCCUAACCAGGGCGUCACAAGUCACGAGCAUCUACUAGGGUCUAAAUACAACUGAAAAUUCUGAAACGUACAAAAUAUGGACUAAUGAAAUAAAGAGGGAGAAAAGUAGUGUUGUGAACGCCAGCAACUACCUUGCUAAACUCUGAUGACUCUGCCUCCGAUCAGCCAAUACCUGCUACCGGGUUCAGAAAUACCUGAAUCUGCACACAAGGUGCAGGGAGUAAAGUGAGUACUCCAACUCAAGCAUGUAAUUGCAAUUUCAAUCAUAAUUAGUCAAGGUAGAAAUGAAUUCAAAAGCCAAAUUAGUCUAAAUCUGCUAAGGUCAGAACCUAAGUGUGUAUCCCCCGCAGAGUCGCCAUGUUGUUGCACCCAAUUUUGCACCAGUCAAGACUGGAUUCAACUUGUGAUUUCUCUGUUGUUGAUGAAAAAGAGUCUCCAUCUAAUCUUUAAAGGCAUACUAGGGUACCUAUUUAACUAUUGAGUCAUAUUUUAUUAGUCUGCUAACCAGUGAGAUUAUGGGUAAUGGUUCUUGUUCUUCUAAGGGGAAUAUGUUAGGCACCCCCUUAAAAUCUACCCGAGGUAGAUCCAUAGGACUUAGACUAAGUUUGGGAUCAAUUAUUUGUGCUAUGCUUAAUUGCUAUUAAGAGUACAUCUUACUAUGCAUCUAAGGGAGAGUAUAAAAGGGAUGUGAUACAUAUGAGGAGUGUGUGUUAUAAAGGAGUUUAAAGAUACGUUGAGAAUUUUUUUGAAAUAUGUGUGUAAAUGGUACAUAUUUUUAAAGCAUGCGAAGAGAGAGUUUGAGUUAUAAAACACUUGGUUUAAAAGAUGGAUGUAACUCUAAGAGGUGUUUUUGAAAGUGAGCCUAAGAUAUACCUUGGUUCGAAGAUCCUUUAAGAAAAGAUUAUUUGCCAAAAAUCCCUUAAGGCGACAGUUCUUGAAGUUCUGAUUUUCCUUUUGAAAAUGAAGCUUCACCUUUUGAAAGAAAGCUACUAUUUUGCUAAGUUCUGGAUUUUAAAAUCUUUAAAGGAAAGAAAGGAUGAGUAAAAACAUAAUAAUUUGCCAGCAAAUUAUUUUUAGUGAAUUAAGGAUCUACUACUAACUAAUUUCCCUUUUUAAAUCCUAUGUUGUUUAAGGUUUGUCUAAGUUUACACCAAAGCAUAAGAGAAAAAGCAAGUGAUCUAAUAUAUGUGUUAUAUACAUGAGAGAAAAAAAAUAACAAUAAAGACAUAACAAAUACAACUAACAUUAAUUUAAACUAACAGAAACAACAAAGUGUACUAAUGAGAUAGUAAAGAGGACUAGACUCUGUGAUCGGGCCUCAAGGAAAGCAGGCCCAGUAGUAAAGAGAUGCGAAUACGGCUGAUUUUGGACUCCCCAACGGAAUUCAAUAAGGUUGGAAUUGGGCCUGAGUUCCUCAGGAACUCAAUGGCCCAAACAGAUGUACAUGUCAAAAAUUAAGAAAGUCAUUAGACACAAAUUCUAUAUAUUUAGCAUAUUCUAACAACAGAUCAUACUCUGACGAACAUAUAAUUGAAACAUGAAUGGGAUUAAUACUGUGGAAGAGUCAUAUAUCAAUGUAAUGGUUUUAUUUAGCAAAUAAUUCACAUUGAAACCUUUAGUUGUCAUUAAACUCUUAAAGAACUGAAUUUGUCAAUGAACUAAAGGCUAAGGACGGAACCCCACCCGAAGUCGAUGCUCCAUGUGAAUCCU